AAGGGCACCACAAGAACGCGUGGAGCAUGUGGCUUAAUUUGACUCAACGCGGGAAAUCUUACCGGGUCCGGACACACUGAGGAUUGACAGGCAAUAUUAUAAUUUUUUAAUUGAAAUAAAUUUUUAUUAAUUUAUUUUUUUUAUUUUUUAUAUGUUAAAUAUGCUAGUCCUUUCAUGAUUAUGUGAUAGGUGGUGCAUGGCCGUUCUUAGUUCGUGGAGUGAUCUGUCUGCUUAAUUGCGUUUCACUAUUGGGCUUAUAUAAUUACGUAUGUUGUUAACGCUUUGACCCCUUUCUACGGAUUGUGCGUGUCUUUGUCUCGUUUAACUCAUACAAUUAAGCCCUGAAAGCAACGAACGUGACCGCAACCUCUUGUUGCUCUCAUAUUACCUUAUACUGCAUAAUAUUUGAAUAAUUUAUUUUAUUUUUUUUAUGUUUAAGAGAGCUUUCUAAACUAGAGGGACCGCUGUUACUUUCUUAAACCAGAGGAAGGUUGCGGCAAUAACAGGUCUGUGAUGCCCUUAGAUGUUCCGGGCUGCACACGUGCUACAAUGAUUAUUGCAGUGAGCAUCUCAUUUUUUACACAUCGCAUGCGCGAGUCCAUUUAUUCAGAUAUCUUUCAUUUACUUUCGGGUGAAUGUAGUGUUUGCUUUAAAUGUGUAUCUCUGCGCGCGAUAAAGCCUGCUUCGAAAGUAAGUGGGUAAUCAAUUAGAAGUAAUGAUUUCCUUUUUUUUUCUGCACACAUAUAUAUGGCACUUAUACCCGGGUAACCUUGUUGUUACUUUUGUGCGUAUACGUGAUAAUCUUUACCGAUUAUACUACCAUAUGUGCAAUUGUCAAUUCAUGGUGGGGACAGACCAUUGUUAAUUGUUGGUCUCGGUCUUAACUAGGAAUGCCUUGUACGGAUCUUUGGUUCAGCAAACCAUCCGGAAUACGUCCCUGCCCUUUGUACACACCGCCCGUC
This 962-nucleotide ribosomal RNA is filed under the name Cassidulinoides sp. RNAcentral's name for it is "partial small subunit ribosomal RNA". It matches the Rfam family "Eukaryotic small subunit ribosomal RNA", at positions 1160 to 1677 of the family's 1831-position model. Lineage: Eukaryota; Foraminifera; Rotaliida; Cassidulinidae. The record is from RNAcentral.